UUUGGUAGCCCGUUGGAAUAAUGUUGAUAGAGAGAGAUAGGAUUGGAAUACUAUUGAUAGUAUUUGGCCUUUUUUGCUAUUAAAUUUUUAAUUUUUGGAUAAGAAAUUAUAGAGUUAUAAUGAUAUUAGUCUCUGAGGGUUGAGUAGUUCUCUGAUUAGGAUUGUGUGGUCUCUACUAGAUUAUAAUAUUUAAUCUCAUAGUUAGAAAUGAUCAAAAAAAAUUGAUCUAAAGACUAAAAAUUUAAUAGCAAAAAAGGACAAAUAUUAUUAAUAGGAUUCUAGCCGAAUUCUCUCUCUCUCUCUCUCUCUCUCUCUCUCUCUAUAUAAAGAGAGAGAGAGUAGGGCUACUAUACUCUUAUGAGAAGAGCGCCCUUCGUACUCAUAAGUCUCUCUCUAUAUAUAUAGAGAGAGAGUAGUGAUAGAUUUUAUAGGUAUGUAAAACAAAACCGAAAAUAAAUACAUACCAAAAUGCAGGAUCAAAAUUAAUAAUAAGAUAACUCACAGAGCGCCAUGGAGAAGAAAUUCUUGAUCAAUCUUGCGGAAGCGUGAAGUCCGGCUAUGGUCUGAAAGUCACGAACCGAACUUGGGUGAUUUGGUUUCUCCCCCUAUCUCAUGCACUCUGCCGUAUGGUGUGAAACCGAUAGUAAUUCUUCACCAGAAUGCGUAUGAGAAGGUGGCAGGACCAAUACCCCUUUAUAUAGAGUCCAAAUCGACUUCUCAUCAAAGUCUGAUUAGGAUUCUAUUUAAAUUUAAAAUAGAUGGGAUAGGGAUAAAAUAUACCAUAUCAAGUAGUUCUAUAUCUAUUAGGAUUGACCUUUAUCUAUAGUAAAUCCUAAUUUAAAUAUGAUUAAUUGGGCCACAAUAUAUGGAAAUCCUAACAAUCUCCCACUUGGCUCAUAUUAAUCAUAUUUCAUUAAUGGAUUUUCUAUCUUCCAAACUUUAUUGCGCAUUGUAGGAAACUUUAUGGUCAAAUACCUUAGAACUCACUUGAUCUUUAGCUCAAACUAAAAGACUACAAUGAUAGGAACUAUGGCGGUCCACCUCUUCAUAACGAAAUUUUCCUUCCAUAAUUACCGUAUCAUCUUCACCUCUUAGCCGAGUACUUUAUAUGACACAACUUUAUGAAUGAACUUAAACUGUAUAUUCAUCCAUUAAUAAGCGAAGCUUUAUGCCUAUUAAAAGGUCCAACACAGCUGCAUUAAACUUUAACUUUAUUGAAAGAAAAUAAGUAUUAAAAUUUUAUACAUCGAAAGAACUAAUCAAACCCAUAUUUCUAACAUGAUCCGUAUAUGACCCAGGUGCCAGCCCCUUGGUCAUUGGGUCUGCAAUCAUACACUUGGUACUGAUGUAUUCAAUUGUAAUAUAACCUUCAUCUAUCUUCUCUCUCACAACAAGAAAUUUAGUGUCCAAGUGUUUACACCCCGCUGUAAUCUUGUUGUUAUUGGCAAAGGAAACCGCAGCUGAACUAUCACAGAAAAUCUUUAUUGGACGAGCAAUGGAGUCCACAAUUCUUAAGUCUGUGAUAAAAUUCCUAAGCCAAAUAGCCUGUGAUGUGGUCUCGUAACAUGCAAUGUACUCUGCAGCCAUGGUCGAAGGAGCAGUAACACUUUGUUUGCUACUCUUCCAUGAUAUCGCUCCACCAGCAAGCAGAAAAAUAUAUCCAGUCGUAGACUUUCUGGUAUCUGGGCAUCCAGCAAAAUCAGAGUCCGAGUACCCGAUCAGCUCCAAGUGAUCCGAUCUCCUGUAAAUCAGCAUAUGAUCCAAAGUUCCUUUCAAAUACCUCAUAACCUUCUUAGCAGCCUUCCAAUGCUCCAUACCUGGAUUAUUUUGAUACCUGCCAAGUAAUCCAACGGCAAAAGCAAUAUCCGGACGUGUGCACGUCUGUGCAUACAUAAGACUACCAACUGCAGAGGCAUAAGGUAUACUUUUCAUCUGUUCAAUUUCUAAUUGGUUCUUGGGACACUGAAAAGCAUUAAGCUUAUCCCCUUUCUGGACAGGAGCAACACUGGGCUUACAAUUAUGCAUUUCAAAAUUUUCCAAAACUUUCUUUAUGUCGGCCUUUUGAGACAGACCGAGUAAACCUUUAUGUCUAUCUCUUUUGAUUUCAAUACCAAGAACAUAUGAGGCCUCACCUAAAUCUUUCAUUUCAAAAUUUUGGAAAAGAAAUUCUUUAGUGUUAUGCAAUAGCCCAAGAUCAUUACUGGCAAGCAAAAUAUCAUCAACAUAAAGGACUAAGAAAAUUACUUUACUCCCACUAACCUUUAAAUAAAUACAUUGAUCAACAAUAUUUUCCUUAAAACCAAAGGUUAAAAUAGUUUGUUUAAAUUUUAAAUACCAUUGUCGGGAGGCCUGCUUUAGUCCAUAUAUUGAUUUCUUUAAUUUGCAUACCAAAUGCUCCUUUCCCUUUUGCGAGAAUCCUUCAGGUUGAUUCAUAUACACCUCUUCAUAGAGAUCCCCAUUUAAAAAGGCAGUUUUGACAUCCAUCUGGUGUAGCUCGAGAUCAAAAUGAGCAACCAGAGCCAUAAUAAUACGAAAAGAUUCCUUUCUAGAUACUGGAGAAAAAGUCUCUUUAUAGUCAAUGCCUUCUUUCUGAGUAAACCCUUUUGCCACAAGACGGGCCUUGUAUCUUUCUAUGUUACCUUUGGAGUCCCAUUUAAUUUUAUAAACCCAUUUGCAUCCUACGGGUUUCACUCCAAUAUGUAACUCAACAAGAUCCCAUACCUUAUUGUGGUUCAUGGAUUCAAUCUCAUCAUUCAUGGCAUUGUACCAUUCCGUAGAAUUACUGCUAUUUAUGGCUUCGGAAAAACUAAGAGGAUCAUCCAAACUCUGACCAUUCUCAUAAAGAUAGAUAAUAUAAUCACUGGAUAUAGCCGGUCUUCUCUGUCUUGAGGAUCUUCUUAAAUCUAUCUGAUUAUCCACACGUAUAUCUUGAUGUGGAUUAUUCACUUGUACAUCUUGAUGUAAAUUAUCCACUUGUACAUCUUGAUGUGAAUUAUCAAUGAUAGGUUCACAAUCAUUUUGUGGUUCCAAAACAACUUGUUGUUCUACUGAAAUAGGAACCAACAAAUCGUGAGGGACAACAGUGGGUCUAUCAUGUACAGAAUCCGAAUGCUCCUGAAUUUCCUCAAAUUCAAUGAAUCGAGGUUCAGAGCUCCCACUAAUUGUACCAUCCUCAAUAAACCGUGCUGUUUUAGUUUCUGCAAUCUUUAUAGGAAGUGAUGGACAGUAAAAUUUAUACCCUUUGGACCUUUCUGAAUAACCAAUAAAAUAUCCUGAUAUGGUUCGAGGAUCCAGUUUCUUUAUUUGUGGAUCAUACAAUUUGGCCUCAGCUUGACAACCCCAUGUAUGAAAAUGUCUUAAACUGGGUUUCCUACCUGUCCAAAGCUCAAAAGGAGUCUUAGUGACAGCCUUAGUAGGAACCCGAUUAAGAAUAUAUAGGGCAGUUUUGAGUGCCUCACUCCACAAUGAUAUUGGAAGGGUAGAAUUACUGAUCAUACUCCUGAGCAUAUCAAUUAAUGUGCGGUUUCUUCUUUCAGCAACACCAUUCUGAUCAGGUGUCCCUGGCAUGGUGUACUGUGGAACAAUUCCGCACUGCUCCAGAAACUUAGCAAAAGGCCCAGGGAUUUGGCCUUUAUCUGUUUGUCUACCAAAAUAUUCACCACCCCUAUCUGAUCUGACUACUUUUAUCCUUUUCUCGAGUUGAUUCUCUACUUCAGCCUUAUAUGCCUUAAAGGCAUCUAAUGCUUCAGAUUUUUCUUUAAGUAAGUAGAGAUAGCCAUAUCGAGAGUAGUCAUCAGUAAAUGUGAUAAAAUAUUUAUGGCCAGUAAUUGAAAUAGGAAGAGGUCCGCAUAUAUCGGUAUGAAUCAACUCUAAUGUUCCAUCACAUCUUUUAGCACCUUUAGAGGAAGUUUUGGUCUGCUUUCCCUUUAUGCAGUCCACACAUAUUCCAAAGUCAGAGAAGUCCAAAUCAUCUAAAAUGCCUUCUCUAAUUAACCUUUGGAUUCUCUGUUUCGAGAUGUGUCCUAACCUCUUAUGCCAUAACAUGGAUGACCUUUCAUUAUUAAUGCCACGUUUUGAUCCAACAUUUCCGUGCAUGGUAAGAAGGAUUUCACUAAAUGAAUCAUCUAAAAAUACUUUAUAUAGAUUAUUUUCCAAAACACCAGAGCCAACUAUCUGAGAUUUAUAAGAUAAAGAAAAAACUUUAUUAUUAAAACUGAAACUAUAUCCCAAUCCAACAAGUUUCGAAAUAGAAAUUAAAUUCUUAGAAAAAUUUGGAACAUAAAAUGUAUCAACUAAAUCCAAAAUGUGACCAGUAGAAAGAACUAAUCUAAAUGUUCCUACAAAUUCUACUUUAGUUGGAUUUCCUUCAGCUGUAUAGAUAGUCGCUUCAUCUUUACUGGGUUUUCUCCGAUUCUGAAAUCCCUGCACGGAAUUCGCCACGUGACAUGUGGCACCAGAGUCAAUCCACCAAGUAUUAGACGGAACUGAAACUAAAUGCAACUCAUGCAUCAAAACCAGAAAUUUACCUUUCUUCUGGAGCCAUUUCUGAUAUUUUUGGCAGUCCUUCUUUAUAUGACCCUUUUUCUUACAAAAGAAGCACUUGGGAGUCCAAUUACUUGAUUGGCCUUGUGAACCAGAUGGAACUUCCUUAUUCUUUCUUUUUGAGUCAUUCUUGCCCUUGCCAUUCUUUGCACGCUUUAUUUGUCUCUUUUGAGAAACAAAGUUGACUGCAUUUUGUUUCUCUUGUAUUAAUCUGCCUUCCUCUUGCACACACAUGGUCAGCAGUUCAUUAAUUGACCAUUUAUCUUUAUGUGUAUUAUAAGAGAUCUGAAAUGGUCCGUAUUCAGAUGGCAAAGAAUUCAAAAUAAAGUGCACUAAGAAUGAAUCAGAGAUGGUUACUUCAAGUGCGGUGAGUUGCGCUGCAAUAUCUCGCAUUUCCAUAAUAUGCUCGCGAAUCGAGCCAUUUCCGGAGUACUUCAUGGAAGACAGUUUAUUCAUUAAGGUGCUCGCCAAGGCUUUAUCGGAGCUGACAAACUGCUCCUCAAUAGCCUUUAGAUAAUCCUUGGCUUUAUUACAUUCUGGGAUUGAUCCCCUUAUGCUUUUUGAUACCCUUGACUUUAUGAGCAUCAAACUUAAGCGGUUGGAUCGCUCCCACUUUUCCUGCGCGGAUUCCUGCUGUGGAGUCAUUGGCCCCACUACCUUAGGCGGUUGUUCAGCGCGCAGAGCCAAAUCUAAAUCCAUAUAACCCAAAAUGAACAUGAUCUGUUCUUUCCACUCCGAAUAAUUAGAACCAUUAAGUAUAGGAACAGAUUCACCAAUAGGAACAGAAAAUGGAGUCAUAGCUGAAAAAUAAAAUGCAUGUUUUAUCAAUAAAAUACCACAUCAAAAUUACCACACCAAAAUUAGAGAAAUACACUUUAUAUGAUAUCACAACCCCUCCUUUGGGAGCAGAGUUAUGAGCAUAAGUAUUUUUCGUUCUUUAUGCAUAUACUUUAUAUGACAUCACAACCCCUCCUUUGGGAGCAGAGUUAUGAGCAUAAAUAUGCAAUCUCUUUGUUAGAGAUUAAUUUAAACUUUCUGUAGGUCGUGAUAAUCUCAAAUUUCUCAUAUGAAGAAAUUGUCAGCUUUGGCCAGGUAAAUUUCUCCAAACGAGUUAUAAGAAAAUUACCAUCCUACACCACCCAUUUACCUUCAUGUCUAGACCUCCUUUGGGAGCAGACUAAACAUAAUAUUAGGGUGCAAUUUCUCAAUGCACAUCUUUAAAGCAAUUAAUUUAUCUUUUCUUCCGGUCGGGGCCGCUUUGGCUUGCACCCGAACAGUUGAAACAAUAAAUUAAUCUGACUUAGUGCUGCAUGAUUGACAUGAAAAUUAUCCGAAAGCGCUACUUUAAAGUAAAUUAAAUUAUUAUUUCUUUUAAUUAGGGCCGCUUUGGCUUGCACCUAACCUAUCGAAAUAAUAAAUUAAUUUAACUUAGCGCCAAAUAUUAAAUAAUCGAAAACAAUUAUGAUUAUUUAAUUUUCAUGUUUAUCCGGUCAAAACAAGAAUAUAGUUGCGAUAAUUUAAAACAUGAUAUCGCAAUCAAAUUUAAACUUUAUAUAUUCUAAUUCGACCACAAAAAAAAAGAUAAAUGACGUUAUGAUAAAUUAAAUAUUGUAUGCAAAAUAUAAUCCUUAUGUGAACGGAUUCUAUAUGUCCACAAUAAUUCCGUAUGCAUAAUGAUUUUGACGGGUCAAAAUCAGACGAAUUAAUAAACAGAUUAAGUAGAAAAAUCUUUACGGAUUCAGAACAAUUAAAGAUAAGAUCAUGCAAUUCCAGGCGUAACCUGUCGGAAUAAACCAGACUAACUGGUUUGAAAAGCAACGAUCAUUAAAAGAAAUAUAGCCACAAUCGCACAAUUACAUUGCCUCGGAUCCAGAAAGGCAUAAUCCAAAACCAUAAUCAUCAUUUUUUUAUUUUUUUUUUAUUUUUUAUUUUAAUUAACUCAGUUUCAACCAAACAAGACGUAGAAUCCAAAACAAUGAUUAGCCAUGCUGCUGCUGUGUCAUCGUUUUGCAAGGCCAUAACUAAACAAAAACAAGUGACCAAAAACGACUUCUUUAUUAUAUAGCUUCCCAAUUUUGAGAAGGAAGACGAUUGAUGGUUUGAAUAUGUAAACCAUGCGGUCCAGCAAGAUUGCCAGAACAAAAACGUACGACGUGGCAAUAUCCUAACAUAUAAGUUGAUCCCGAAAUCCAAGUCAAAAUUCAUCGUAACUUGAUGCAAUUACAUAAUGCAUACAAUAUUAAUAUUAUCGAACCAAUUGGCUCUGAUACCAAUUGAUAGAUUUUAUAGGUAUGUAAAACAAAACCGAAAAUAAAUACAUACCAAAAUGCAGGAUCAAAAUUAAUAAUAAGAUAACUCACAGAGCGCCAUGGAGAAGAAAUUCUUGAUCAAUCUUGCGGAAGCGUGAAGUCCGGCUAUGGUCUGAAAGUCACGAACCGAACUUGGGUGAUUUGGUUUCUCCCCCUAUCUCAUGCACUCUGCCGUAUGGUGUGAAACCGAUAGUAAUUCUUCACCAGAAUGCGUAUGAGAAGGUGGCAGGACCAAUACCCCUUUAUAUAGAGUCCAAAUCGACUUCUCAUCAAAGUCUGAUUAGGAUUCUAUUUAAAUUUAAAAUAGAUGGGAUAGGGAUAAAAUAUACCAUAUCAAGUAGUUCUAUAUCUAUUAGGAUUGACCUUUAUCUAUAGUAA
RNAcentral lists this long non-coding RNA (7229 nucleotides) under Ananas comosus (pineapple). RNAcentral describes it as "long non-coding RNA (ACOM_LNC019384)". Lineage: Eukaryota; Viridiplantae; Streptophyta; Magnoliopsida; Poales; Bromeliaceae. The record is from RNAcentral.